Molecule: ribosomal RNA, 492 nt
Filed under: uncultured bacterium
Lineage: Bacteria
Description: partial 16S ribosomal RNA
Rfam family: Bacterial small subunit ribosomal RNA
Source: RNAcentral
AGUGAACGCUGGCGGUAGGCCUAACACAUGCAAGUCGAACGGCAGCACAGUAAGAGCUUGCUCUUACGGGUGGCGAGUGGCGGACGGGUGAGGAAUACAUCGGAAUCUACUUUUUCGUGGGGGAUACCGUAGGGAAACUUACGCUAAUACCGCAUACGACCUACGGGUGAAAGCAGGGGAUCUUCGGGCCUUGCGCGAUUGAAUGAGCCGAUGUCGGAUUAGCUAGUUGGCGGGGUAAAGGCCCACCAAGGCGACGAUCCGUAGCUGGUCUGAGAGGAUGAUCAGCCACACUGGAACUGAGACACGGUCCAGACUCCUACGGGAGGCAGCAGUGGGGAAUAUUGGACAAUGGGCGCAAGCCUGAUCCAGCCAUACCGCGUGGGUGAAGAAGGCCUUCGGGUUGUAAAGCCCUUUUGUUGGGAAAGAAAAGCAGCAGGUUAAUACCCCGCUGUUCUGACGGUACCCAAAGAAUAAGCACCGGCUAACUUCGUG